Molecule: long non-coding RNA, 333 nt
Organism: Columba livia (rock pigeon)
Lineage: Eukaryota; Metazoa; Chordata; Aves; Columbiformes; Columbidae
Exons: 3
Source: RefSeq, a predicted model, not a curated record
UCCCCAGGUGCCACCACGUGUCCCCCCGGCAGCGUGUCCUGUGCCACCACCCCCGGGUGUCCCCCUGUCAUUGUGUCCCCAUGUGCCACCACGUGUCCCCUGGGCAGCGUGUCCUGUGCCACCACCCCCUGGUGUCCCCAUGGCCGCGUGUCCCCAUGUGCCACCACGUGUCCCCUGGGCAGCGUGUCCUGUGCCACCACCCCCGGGUGUCCCCAUGGCCGCGUGUCCCCAGGUGCCACCACGUGUCCCCUGGGCAGCGUGUCCUGUGCCACCACCCCCGGGUGUCCCCGCGGCCGCGUGUCCCCAAGUGCCACCAGGUGUGCCCCCGGCAGC